This is a long non-coding RNA of Engraulis encrasicolus (European anchovy), 367 nucleotides long. RefSeq lists it as uncharacterized. Lineage: Eukaryota; Metazoa; Chordata; Actinopteri; Clupeiformes; Engraulidae. The transcript is spliced from 3 exons. The record is from RefSeq and is a predicted model, not a curated record.
AAAAUCUUGGACCACGUCCGCCAUGGUGCCGAGAAGACAGUUGAGAUGUUGGUGAAAUUCAAGCUCUUUGUGAGUUGACUGAGAAGAUUGCUGAAGGAUCUUACAUGGAAGCUGGCUGAUUAUAUUGAGUGAUUCCUUUGGUGUGGUGUACCUCAGAGAAAUAAACACUGUGGCAAGAGCUGAGAAGAUGACCAAGAUAUCCUUAUGGCUGGAUGGUAGCUCUCUGGUCGUUCUUGAGCCCCCUUGAUGGACCAUGUCUGCAAAUGCUUUGACGGAAUUUCUAAAGGUUAGCAACCAUUCACAAAUUUACACCUCAUGUAUGUGUUUCAAAUGCCAAAUGUCUUAACAGUUUGAAUCACACACUGUU